UGGCCCUUACAGGCUGGGCUACACACGUGCUACAAUGGCAUCUACAGUGGGCAGCUAUUCCGCAAGGAUGCGCUAAUCUCCAAAAGAUGUCUCAGUUCGGAUUGUCCUCUGCAACUCGAGGGCAUGAAGGCGGAAUCGCUAGUAAUCGCGGAUCAGCAUGCCGCGGUGAAUACGUUCCCAGGCCUUGUACACACCGCCCGUCACACCAUGGGAGUUGGAUUCACUCGAAGGCGUUGAGCUAACCCGUAAGGGAGGCAGGCGACCACAGUGGGUUUAGCGACUGGGGUGAAGUCGUAACAAGGUAACCGUA
Molecule: ribosomal RNA, 310 nt
Filed under: uncultured bacterium
Lineage: Bacteria
Description: bacterial SSU rRNA
Rfam family: Bacterial small subunit ribosomal RNA
Source: RNAcentral